GUAAGGUAGAGCUCCUUCAAACUUAAGUUGGCCUGCACGUCUUAGCAGCACAAAGAAUUGCUCGAUGAUUUACAGAAUGUCGGCAGCUACAAUCAACGUUCUUACGACAUUUUUCCCUAUAUGUCUACUCGGAAUAACUCAAGCUCUACCUGAAAAAUGUCACAGAGCCCUUGGUUUAGAGGAUGGAAGAAUUAGAGACUCACAGAUCACAUGCUCUAGCGUUAGAAAGGGUACGAAUGCUUCCUCUGAACAAGCUCGUCUUCGCCACAAU
Molecule: long non-coding RNA, 271 nt
Organism: Dendronephthya gigantea
Lineage: Eukaryota; Metazoa; Cnidaria; Anthozoa; Malacalcyonacea; Nephtheidae
Exons: 3
Source: RefSeq, a predicted model, not a curated record